RNAcentral lists this ribosomal RNA (468 nucleotides) under uncultured bacterium. RNAcentral's name for it is "partial 16S ribosomal RNA". It matches the Rfam family "Bacterial small subunit ribosomal RNA", at positions 28 to 507 of the family's 1533-position model. The record is from RNAcentral.
GACGAACGCUGGCGGCGUGCUUAACACAUGCAAGUCGAACGGAAAGGCCCUGCUUUUGUGGGGUGCUCGAGUGGCGAACGGGUGAGUAACACGUGAGUAACCUGCCCUUGACUUUGGGAUAACUUCAGGAAACUGGGGCUAAUACCGGAUAGGAGCUCCUGCUGCAUGGUGGGGGUUGGAAAGUUUCGGCGGUUGGGGAUGGACUCGCGGCUUAUCAGCUUGUUGGUGGGGUAGUGGCUUACCAAGGCUUUGACGGGUAGCCGGCCUGAGAGGGUGACCGGCCACGUUGGGACGGAGAUACGGCCCAGACUCCUACGGGAGGCAGCAGUGGGGAAUAUUGCACAAUGGGCGGAAGCCUGAUGCAGCAACGCCGCGUGCGGGAUGACGGCCUUCGGGUUGUAAACCGCUUUCGCCUGUGACGAAGCGUGAGUGACGGUAAUGGGUAAAGAAGCACCGGCUAACUACGUG